This 820-nucleotide long non-coding RNA is filed under the name Neogale vison (American mink). RNAcentral describes it as "Neovison vison (American mink) lncRNA (ENSNVIG00000000198.1)". The record is from RNAcentral. Lineage: Eukaryota; Metazoa; Chordata; Mammalia; Carnivora; Mustelidae.
CGAGGAAGCGCUGCGUUCGCCUCGCCAAGUCCAUACACACCUAUAUUCCAGUGCCCCACCCCAGAGCAUGCAGCUCUCUCUCCACGCCUCUCGAGAGUCGUGCCCCCCAACACGUCCGUCACACCCGGCCAUCUUCCCAAAGCCGAGCCCCGCAGCCUUACCCCGACCCCCGAGAGCACACCGCUAGAAAUAAGCCCUCCGCCUCCAGACGACUGAGUGACUCCGAUCGGCGGCAGCCCGUUCGCGACACUUUCGCGUUGCCGUAAAGGGAUACAGGGUCGGAACGAGCGGCGGCGCGGGCGCGCUCCUCGGGGCGGUAAGCGCGCCCCAGGCCUGGCCCGGCUGCUCGGGAGCGCGCCCUAGGGUCCCGCCCUGUCUCGGUCCCGCCUGCCGGCUUCGAACGCUGCGGCUGUCCCUGGCUGGGUCAUCCACACAAGCAGUCACCGCUUAGAGGAGACAGUAAAAGGAAUUAAUCUUAUUACCAGUGGCUUUCAAAUAUUUGAGAAAUUUAAGAAUUGUGACUGCAGUUCUGAUUCAUGGAUCUUCAAAGAAAGCAGAGAAGAUUUCAGGACUUACAAAGGUGCAGGUUUGUGCAGAUUUGAAGACCAGUAUCUUACGAGCUUGUAAAACAGCAACAAGUCAGAUGAUCAGAGUAAAUGACGAGUACAAGUCAAAAGUGGCUGAGAUUUCAUUAUUUGGAAGAAGCUGAGCACAUUGGAGGAUUAUGCAGGUAAGAGUUGUUCUUACAGGGGUGCCUGGGUGGCUCAGUGGGUUAAGCCUCUGCCUUUGGCUCAGGUCAUGCAUGAUCCCAGGGUCCUAG